RNAcentral lists this ribosomal RNA (253 nucleotides) under uncultured bacterium. Its description in RNAcentral is "partial 16S ribosomal RNA". It matches the Rfam family "Bacterial small subunit ribosomal RNA", at positions 524 to 776 of the family's 1533-position model. The record is from RNAcentral.
UACGUAGGGGGCUAGCGUUGUCCGGAAUCAUUGGGCGUAAAGAGCGUGUAGGCGGUCCGGUAAGUCCGCUGUGAAAGUCGGGGGCUCAACCCUCGAAUGCCGGUGGAUACUGUCGGGCUAGAGUGCGGAAGAGGCGAGUGGAAUUCCUGGUGUAGCGGUGAAAUGCGUAGAUAUUGGGAAGAACACCAGUGGCGUAGGCGACUAGCUGGGCCAUAACUGACGCUGAGGAACGAAAGCCAGGGGAGCGAAUGGG